Long non-coding RNA from Larimichthys crocea (large yellow croaker), 780 nucleotides. RefSeq lists it as uncharacterized. The record is from RefSeq and is a predicted model, not a curated record. The transcript has 3 exons. NCBI's taxonomy places the organism in Eukaryota, Metazoa, Chordata, Actinopteri, Sciaenidae.
GCUAUGUCUGCUGUUGUUGACCUUGCUUGAUAUUUUGUUGCAAAGUUGUCGGCCUGCUAGUGUUUGAUUACAAGUAAUAAAAUCAGAACAAAUAUUGCUUUUAAAUCUGCCCUGCAAUCUACAAAAAUAUAGAUUAAGAAGCAAAACUCAACAUAGCUGAAAUAUAUUAAGGGGUCUUGGAGAAGUCUGCGUGUGCACCGCUACCAGGAAGCCAUGAAAAUUCAUCCAUGUGCCUACACAGGACACACAUAAAGUGGAAAGUUGAAGUCAUAAUAAUGGUGGGACUUUCUGAGCCUUUUAAGCUUUUGGCCAGAAGAGAGGGACCAACGGAGAGUGGCUACAAUUAUGCAAUGGAAAAAGACAAGGGAAAGCUGGACUGAACGGAAGGAAAAGAAAAGAAAGGAAAGAGGAGAGCAUUAUUUAAAAGAAUGGAAAACAGCACUAUGGGAAAACCUGCCACUUUGAAAUAAGAAAGGAAGAAACACAAAAGCAGAGCAGUGGGCCAGACCUGUGGUACAUAGUGCUACUCUGGGAAAAGGCAAUCCGGCGCCUGGAAAGAAACGUUAUGUCAUCCAUCCCACGUGAUGCUGUGUUGUGCUUCGCUGCCAUGGUGACGGCGAAGAUGAUCAGGAGAAGAAAAGUGGGGUAGCAGCAGCCAUGACUGUUUGAGCUCAAGAAAUGUGUUUGGGAGGUUACACCACCGGUCAACUUCUCCAUGGAGCAUAAACACUGAACCCGUCAGGUGCUGCUAGAAGAUUGCAGCCUUUAAGCAACAAAUAA